GUUUUCGAACCCGACGAUACUUCUGAGUGUUCUUAGCGAACUGUCAAAACUUUUAACAACGGAUCUCUUGGCUCCAGCAUCGAUGAAGAACGCAGCGAAACGCGAUAUGUAAUGUGAAUUGCAGAAUUCAGUGAAUCAUCGAAUCUUUGAACGCACAUGGCGCCUUCCAGUAUCCUGGGAGGCAUGCCUGUCCGAGCGUCGUUUCAACCCUCGAGCCCCUGUGGCCCGGCGUUGGGGAUCUGCCACGGCAGGCCCCUAAAACCAGUGGCGGACCCGAUGGGCCCUCUCCUUUACGUAGUAGCAUUCGCCUCGUAUUGGGAGUCCUCGGCGUCCUGCCUCUAAACCCCCCACAAGCCCGCUUCGGCGGCACCAAGGUUGACCUCGGAUCAGGUAGGAAUACCCGCUGAACUUAAGCAUAUCAA
This 422-nucleotide ribosomal RNA is filed under the name fungal sp. E14818A. Its description in RNAcentral is "eukaryotic LSU rRNA". The stretch from base 48 to 201 matches the Rfam family "5.8S ribosomal RNA". The record is from RNAcentral. Lineage: Eukaryota; Fungi.